This 425-nucleotide ribosomal RNA is filed under the name uncultured bacterium. RNAcentral's name for it is "partial 16S ribosomal RNA". It matches the Rfam family "Bacterial small subunit ribosomal RNA", at positions 354 to 796 of the family's 1533-position model. The record is from RNAcentral.
GUGGGGAAUCUUGCACAAUGGGCGAAAGCCUGACGCAGCCAUGCCGCGUGAAUGAUGAAGGUCUUAGGAUUGUAAAAUUCUUUCACCGGGGACGAUAAUGACGGUACCCGGAGAAGAAGCUCCGGCUAACUUCGUGCCAGCAGCCGCGGUAAUACGAAGGGGGCUAGCGUUGCUCGGAAUUACUGGGCGUAAAGGGCGCGUAGGCGGACAGCUUAGUCAGAGGUGAAAGCCCAGGGCUCAACCUUGGAAUUGCCUUUGAUACUGGCUGUCUUGAGUUUGGGAGAGGUGAGUGGAACUCCGAGUGUAGAGGUGAAAUUCGUAGAUAUUCGGAAGAACACCAGUGGCGAAGGCGACUCACUGGCCCAAUACUGACGCUGAGGCGCGAAAGCGUGGGGAGCAAACAGGAUUAGAAACCCGAGUAGUCC